This 1116-nucleotide long non-coding RNA is filed under the name Capra hircus (goat). Its description in RNAcentral is "lncRNA (ENSCHIG00010010099.1)". The record is from RNAcentral. Lineage: Eukaryota; Metazoa; Chordata; Mammalia; Artiodactyla; Bovidae.
AUGUUGUUGCUACCAUAUACAAUUUAAGGAAAAAAGAAAAUUUAUCUAAAACACAUUUGGAAUUUCAGAAUAUCAUAGGUCAAUGCUGCUUCACAUAGAAAAAUUUAGUAAGCAGCUUUACUGGAUAUGUGUUCCAUGUGUGUACAUAUGUGUGUUGAGAAGAGGUUGUAGACCAACACCAUCUCUGGAUAUUAAAGUCAUUUUAAAAGCAAUCUAAGUAUCACUAUGCCUUGAAAAACUUCACACAGUCAGGUGAAUAUUAAUUUGCUUCUUUAUAGACAGUAACCCUCUCUUUAGGAGAAACUGUAAAGCUCUGAAACACUGCUCUGUUUACUACUAGAGAAAAAAAAAACUGGUAAUCACUAUCACUUUAUGGUCAUUUGUGCAGGGGUUCAUUUAUUUUCUGUAGUUCAAGUCAGAAAUACAAUGAAUACAAAUCUGUCUCUUUAUAGAGGGUAAGCUUCUCUUUAUGAGAAAUGUUAAGGCUCUAAAAUAUUGCCUUGUUAACUAUGAGAUAGAAAACUUAACUAUUAUUACUUUAUGGUCAUUUCUGCAUGGAUUCAUUUAUUUUCAGUACUUCAAGUCAAAGUUAUGAUGAUGAAUGAUGGUCUUUCAUAGCUAUUGUUUGAGUAGCUAUUAUAUGCUACUUGCUUUUAUGAUUUUUUCUAGUUUUUAUAAAAACCUUCCUCUUAAAUACUACACUUCAAAUGGUCAUGUCUAUUGUUACUAUAUUAAUCUUACAGAUGGGGAUAUUGAGGCUUAUACAGAGAGGUAACAUUCACAAGUUCAUGGCUAGUAAAGAAUGUGACAUCUAGGAUUUGAUCUGUUUCUGACCGAUCUUAAGUACUGGAACUGAGCCUGUGUCUUUGUACAAUAUGAUAAAUUUUAAUAUACGGAGUCACAUUGUCAGUUUUAAGUAAAUGUACUAAAUCUAGGACUUUGUCAUAGAUGUAUAUGGCUCAAAAACAACUUGCCUUCCAAAUGCUUGCCAGAAAUUUAUGCUAUAACAUAUGAUUUUCUUUUUUAAUAAGAUGGUGAAAUUCCAACUAUAGUGAAAUUUUGUGGGGACUUUAGGUCUAAACAAAUAAAAUAUAAUACAAAUAUGAAUCAAAAUAU